ACCUUAUACAGAUGUAGUGACGCAAGACAGUGACGCAUCUCCCUGUAAGGUGGUGCUUACGUAGAAGUAUGAGCAACAAGUUCUAUUGCGUGGCUUUUGAGUCGAAAUGGAAUGAGCUUAUAUGGAAUAGGUUAACCGUAAGACCUUGAAUUGAAAUAUUCUAAAAUUGACCUAGAAAUGUCUUUCUCAAAUUUUGCUAUUUCUAGUUACGGUGCU
This 216-nucleotide non-coding RNA is filed under the name unclassified sequences. RNAcentral's name for it is "IS605-orfB-I RNA". It matches the Rfam family "IS605-orfB-I RNA". The record is from Rfam by way of RNAcentral.